AAAAAAACGACACAAUUAAAUAUAUAAAAGGACAAGAAAUCUAUCCCAUUAAAAAAAAUUAUAUUGUAUAGGAGCCUGUAUUUCAGUGGUUGUCGUUUGUUUAUGUGUUACAUAUUUGUUUUUCGUUCAUUUUUUUUUUUAUAUAAUUAAGGCCGUUAGUUUUCUCGUUUGAAUUGUUUUACAUUGUCAUAUCGGGGACUUUUAUAGCUGACUAUGCGGUAUGGGCUUUGCUCAUUGUUGAAGGCCGUACGGUGAUCUAUAAAUGUUAAUUUCUGUGUCAUUUUGGCCUCUUGUGGACAGCUGUCUCAUUAGAAAUCAUACCACAUCUUCUUUUUUGUUAUAGAUCCAACGCUGCAAUUUUCACAAAACAUAAUCACAUUU
This 381-nucleotide long non-coding RNA is filed under the name Mytilus galloprovincialis (Mediterranean mussel). The record is from RNAcentral. Lineage: Eukaryota; Metazoa; Mollusca; Bivalvia; Mytilida; Mytilidae.